Long non-coding RNA from Gasterosteus aculeatus aculeatus (three-spined stickleback), 9220 nucleotides. The record is from Ensembl. NCBI's taxonomy places the organism in Eukaryota, Metazoa, Chordata, Actinopteri, Perciformes, Gasterosteidae.
AUACCAUCGCUAUAAAAGAGACCAAAGUAAAUCCUACUGUGCAGUUUGUACUUAUGUAUAGUUAUUUACUGAAGAAAUGUGCACAUUAUAACUUACACGGUUAUAUACUUGAAUACUUCUGCGUUAACAAUGUUUUAGUAAUUGUGGUGGUAUUUGGUAUUUAUAAUUUUAUCUUUUAUAUAAUUUAAUUUGUUUUCAUGUUUGUUCAUGUAAAUGAUUUAUCUUUAGAAGUUAUAUGGGGAAUAAAGAGAACCUAACUAAGAAAUUCUGAAUGGUUGUUAUUCCUUUGGUGGUGGUGGUGGUUGAUUGGUUCGUUGGUGGGGGGGGCACCACCAAGCAUUUGUGCUUAGGGCACCCAAAUGGCUAGCGCCGGCCCUGGGGUCUUGUAACUGCGCUGUUUCAUACUGACCCUUCAGUGGCAGCCUUUCUCGGGAACCCACAGCAUCCUCUUCACUCGGUUCAGGUUGGAGAUUGGCGUCCUGGGAUUCUGCGCCACUAGAAGGCUUGGACUAAAACGGGGCACAGUGCAGGGCCUGGCCACAUUAACCCAGGCUUUAUUCUUUUUAUAAUUAGCUGACUCAGAUGUUCGGGGAUCCUGAUUAAGCCUUUUGAGGGCGUCUCCCUACAGCAUCCGAAAGGCCGGGCAGUCAGUCCCAAUGUGUGAGGAUUCCUGUCUAACCUUGGUGUUUUUUCCCCUCCGUUUCCCCCAUAUUCUCUCCUCAUGUUGAUGUCAUUCCCUUGUUUGUUAUUGUUUUGCCAUGUGCUUGUGUUUUGUUUCUGUGUCCCCAGUAGUGUCCUCAGAGUCCCACCUGGCUGAAGUGGUCACCAGCUCGUUCCAUGGAGAUCAGCGGUGUGAUUACGGAUCGGAGCGGACGCGGGCCCGGUCAUCACCUGGCCGAUUUGACCAGUUUCCUUUUAUUCAGCCACUCACAAUUGACUUGUCUCCUGUUGCUUUUUUUGUCCUGCUGGAGAAAAAUAAAUUCACCUGUUGGAUUAAGGGAAACCUUGGUGGUCCUUUGUGUUGCAUUUGGGUCCGUUUGCACAUCGUAACACAAUGAUGACAGUAAUGAAACAGGGUCUAGAUAUGACCAUGAUCCAUGGAAACCUGUAUGGCGAGAAAGCAUUACAUGUCAUUUAGCUGACCCCUUAUCCAAAGCGACUUACAAUAAGUGCAUUCAACCUUAGGGAUGCAAACUCAGAACAGCAAGAAACAAGAAAGUGCAAUUUCAUCAAAUAAGCAAAUUUACAAUUUGCAAUAGAUAAGUGGCAUUAUAAGUACAAUUACGUGCUACAAUUUUUUUGUCUUUAGCCGAGGUAGAGUCUGAAGAGGUGUGUCUUUAGUUUGCGGUGGAAGAUGUGAAGGCUCUUUGCGGUCCUUGUGUCUUCAGAGAGCAAAGAGUCGUGAUCUUGUUGAGUGUUUUGCUCUCAGUGAGGGAGGGACAAGCAGUUUUGCGAGUUUAGCAAAGUUUUGCAGAGCGGAGUGCGCGGGUUGGGAUGUAGGGUUGGCUGUUGACUGUCUAGUGUCAUGCCGAGGUUCCUAGCAGUCAAAGUGGGCGUUAACACAGAGUUGCCAAAGUUGACCGUCAAGUCCUGGGUCGGAGAAUCUUUUCCCGGAAAGAAAAGUAGUUCAGUCUUGUCGGAUUGAUUUUCAGAUGGUGAGCGGUUGUUACGGUGGAGAUAGGAGGAGAAUUGACCAGCACAGCUGGAAGGUGUUUCGCUAAUCAGGCAAUCAAUUCUCCAGCCUUCCACUCAGAUCAUCAGUUCACAACCUGAAACUAAUGCAACGGCUUAAACGCGCCGCACUUUUGUUUGCCUCAGGUUCUCUGCCACUCUGGAUUCCCCAUAACCUGCAUUCCAGACUCGGCCUGCUCCAGCUCUGCUCCAACCUGCUGACCAUUCCCCCCGCCCGCUCACAAUAUUGCAACCCCUGCUCUUGGGUCCAGCCCCACAAAAAACAUGAACUAAUUUUUUUGCAUCACUUUGAGACAGGAAGUUCCUGAUUUUCAAUAUAAUACGUAGAUGAAAAAAUACUAUAUGAGAGGUAAAAGGACAUAUCCUGGUUGAAGAGAACUCCAAGAUUCUUGACGGUGUUGCUGGAUACCAAAGCAAUUCCAUCAAUAGAAACUGUAUCACGUGACAGAUGAGAUUAGCAUCAGGAAGUUGCAGGUCGACAUGUUGACAGUAUUUUCCACUUUGCCUCCUCUUCAGCUAUUCCGCCAAGUUUCUGGCAUAUUAAUACAGAAAAGUUAUGAGACGGGGGACAAAUUAGAGACCAAAACACAGAUUUUCAGUAGUGCAGUUAAGCAAGUCUUGCAACUGCAUAAAAUAACUGACAGGAGGAGUUCAGGGAUGAAACAAUGACAUGCAUGACCUGAAAGUAAACAUAAAAACGUAAUAUUACGGUACAAUUCAUUAUUCAACAUUCAAGAAAACCGCAUCAAAAAUACAUGAGUGAAAGACCGUGUCAGCCCCCUAAUAAGUAGGAAAAGUCCUCCAUGUCUCCUGAGGCCCGCAGACAGGUACGCUUUGCAGCAGUGAACUGUUGUGACAAAGCCAUUGCUCAUUUUGGUCGUUUGAGCUCCACGCCCGUUCCCGCUGCUAUAGAUGAUGUCUUUGUUAAAGGGCAGGUUUCAUUAAUAUUGGAACAAAGUCAUUGCUGGCAAAGAUUAAAAACCCAAGGAAAGAAUAAAUAACGCUUUGUUGAAUAUUUCAGCGAAUGAAUAAUUCAGCAGUGCGAAGGGUACUGUGUGAAACACGAGGCCAUCUACUCCGGAAAUUAUGAAUGGCUUUAUCUGUCUAUUUCCUUUUUUUCAAUUUAAGGCAUCAGGUAGUCUUGCACACCAUGCAGUUUGACAUGUCAUAGGACAAGCCUUUGGAACGUUUUUUUCAUGGUGGAACAAGCAAGCUUUAGUUUUUUUAGUUGCUGCAAUUGACUAGAGAUUGCCUAAUCAAUAAGAAGUCUCACCCGAGUUGGACAGAACCUUGUUAGGGAUUUAAGCCAGAAGUGCACCCCUAGUCAGGGAAUUAUAGUACGUGUAAUAAUGUUUAGUGUUAGAAUUAUAGUUUGUGUGUUAUUAGAUAUUAGUUAUUACAUUAACAUGAUAGAUGAAGUGAAUGCAAUUUCAAUCAAACACAAUUCAUAGUCAUUUAAAUCAUAUAAACACUGUACACAUUAACAUUCUGUCACAAUGUGAUGUUAAAACCUGGGGACGGAUGCCAAUUGCCGUUCUUUAUGGAUUUCUCCCAAUUUUAUCCCCAAAGAGGGUUUUUUGGGAGUUUUUUCUCCUGUCAGGUAAUAAAUGAACAACUUAAUGUAAGGCAGCCGACUGAGGCAAAUGUUUAGAGAAUUGGACCACAUGAACUGUCUUAGAUCUUAAGAUGAAGUGUGAUGAACGGUGAUCAUUAAUGAUGGGUUGUUGUAAUGAAAGUGUACUAGUAAUAAGAUGAAGACUUAAACGAUGUAUGCUUUGUUAAAUUCACUCAUUGAGGCAUAAAGCCAACUGUAUCUACAUUGAGUGCAUUGGAAUGUGAGGGACAGCUAGGACAGAGAGGUUUCAGGUUACAGCUGCAGAUUCACACCUCGACGUGGAAGGGACAAUGGAGGAGGUGACCCUUUGGAGAAGAGGCCAAUGACAUUCAAAUGCACCAAAGAAGCCACACCUCAAGAGGUUUCAAAGGACCAUGGCGGGGGAAAGACUGUUAGAUUUUCUCCUGCAGCCGCGUUGAUAAGUCACUUUAGACUUGCUCAGAGGAUUCUCUAUUUCGCGAAAUAUUCCACUGUUCGCUUAGUAUUUCACUUUGUAAUUGCAUUCCCUAUAACGUUGUUCAGUUAUUAAAUAACUUUUGAUUUUUGAAUUUAAAUGAAUUGACUCAUUCGUGUCCUCGUUUCCGGCCGGGACGAGAACAACAGGAGUGAGGCCUCCCUCGAGAGCUUUCCGAAACCUUAACAACCUUCACAAAGAAAGUACCCACAACUGCAAGAUUAGUAUCAAUUUUGAAACAGUUGAUGCCAAUUGUGCAGGAAAAGUGUGUGCGUGUAAACUGAAAGCAGUUGAGCAUGUGACACAAAUGGAGCUUAAGCAGUAGUUCUUCUUCUUCUUUUAGUUUACUGGCAGAUCUCAACCAACUUAAAAGGUGCAUAUACCGCCACCUACUGCACUGGAGUAUGACGCCGGUCACUGCCUCCCUUCUAUAUCCUUCUGUAUAGCCCCGUGUUCCUGAGAAAAAGAAAUACUGCCUUCAUUACUCCCUCCUUCCCUUUUCCACCCCCCAAGUACCCCACCUAAGUCCCAGCCCCGCUUCGUCUCCCUGACACUACCAUACAACACCACCCUCUCCUUAUCAUACCUUAAGCAGUAGUUCUAGAAGGAAGACUCCCUUUAUGCCACAGGUGAUGUAGAUAUGCUUCAGCUGGUCUCCCAGAAUAAUCCAAUCAGCAGAGAUUGGCUGCGCCCAGGUGUAUGCGAGCAACAGAGGCGGCGCUGUGGCUCUAAACCAAUCAUAUAGUUGCUGUCAAUCCUUUUUUGAGGGGUUCUCUGUGUUGCUGUCAGGUGUCAUUUCAGUGCGAAACCGACUGUGACCCUCCUCCACCCUAGGCACCUCCAGCAGCUAUCAGGCAUUGUUCACUUGGUUUCAGUGUUAAUUUUGGCAGCUAUUUUUGAUUUAGUCUUAAGACGAAAAAUGCAUAUUAGUCAUUUUAAUCCUUCUUAGUUUUAGUCACAUUUAAUAGCCAUAUUAAACUCCUUUUCUUCUCUUCUCAGGCCCAGGGACCCCCUGUGUUGUGUCUACAACUGCAUAAUAGUCUAGCUUGCAGUACUUGGUUGUCCAUCAGAUGUCCCUCUUAGGACAGGUCUAUAGCAGGGGUCGGCAAACUUUUUGACUCGUGGGCCACAAUGGGUUAUAAAUGUUGACGGAGCCGGGCCAAGUGGAUGAAGUGGAUGAAGUGUUUGAGCCAAUAUAAAUGACAUGUGAAAAAUCAUUACAUGAAAGGAUUUGGAUUUUAACAAAUAGCAAAGCAUUUAUUUGCAAGGCAAUUUAACAAAUUGGCAAACGUAACAACUUCAUGAGGACCAGGGAUCUAAACGCAACACUUUGUUGUCUUUGUUUACUUUCAAUGCUUUUGACAUGGCCACCGGAAACUUCAUGGUCCUCUAUUGUUUCCACUGUGAAAUUGCUUGUCCCAUCUGAAGAGACCCCUUAACGUCCUACAAUCGGUGCAAUACAUUAUUUUCUUGGCUUCAGAACCUGCAAUGAGUUUAUUAUGUUAGACGUGUUUGGAAAAGCCUGUAACGGGCCGUCUCAUCCACCCGAGGAAACGCUGCCUACCGUCGCCAGAGAACAGAGCAGAAAGGUCCGCGUGGAUCUCUGCUGGCCGACAGUCAUCCCACCCAUUCAUCGAAAACACACAAUGACCAUUUAUCUUUGGGAAUACAUUAUGUGAAAAUGUAUCCAAGUUUUUUUGUCCACCAUAAAACAGUAGUCAGCUAGCACAUGUACGUUGAUUAAGAUUUUACUUUGUGGAUUAGAUACUUUUGCUACUGGACAUUAAGAGGGAAAAACAAAUUAAUCCAUCCACUUCAAAACGCAGGUCGACAGAAGCCGCGCCCCUCCUAAAGAAGGCUUUGAGAGUGGAUCUGACACCCAAGCUACCUCAGAUUAAGCCCUUUCUCCUGACACUCCAGUGCAGGAGGCCUUUCACAAUAGUCAAAUUCUUAGUUCUGCGAUCUAUUACAUUUAUUCUUACAUAAAAAUGAAUAUCAACAUUUUAGUCGAUCGGGCUGCCUCUAUCAUGUUGUCUGUUUUCUUUGUCAAAAACAGGGCUCAGGCAGCGAGUCCACACACUAGACACCGACAGGUGAAGAGAAGGCGCGAACCCACUGUUAUAAAAGUGUUCUUUUUACAGACGGCCAGUUAGGAUAGAAAAGUCCAAUGGACUUGGUUUCAAAUCAGCAAUCUUUACCUCUGGUGUGGGAACAUUUUGGCUUUAAGCUGCCUCAGAGAACUGAGGCUGUUUUUUGCCCUCUGCUCCGAAGAUGGCCUACCGAUGAUAAAAGGUGUAAAAAUUCUGUAACUGCCUUGAAUUUGAGAUUAGCCUAAAAUAAAAUCACUAACAGCACUCUACGUCCUAUAAAAUAUUGAGGAACAGGCUUAAACCACAUCAAAAUAAUAGCCCAGUGUGUGGACAGUAAUCAUGGAAUGUUAAAAACUGUAAGGGGAAUUUAUUUUACUUCAGCGUCAUCUGGCCUAGCGGUUUGGUGUGUUUUCUGGAUUAAAUUGCAUAUCAUAUUUAUUAGAGUUGUGUUGUGGAGUAUUUGGAGUAAUAUCUGUAACCGAGGCCUCAAAUAUCAUUGGUUAUGUAUGUUCAUCGACAUGCGGAAUUACAUUCUGAGUCUACUUUACAGACACACUCAAACAUCCAGAAAGCGGCAGUGGUCAGACCCUUACAGCUACCUUCAGAGCCCACCCCCAAAGCUCCCCCUAAAGCAAGCCCAAGGCUACACUGGCUGCAGAAAUCCCUUCUCAGCCCCACUCCCCCCAAAAAAACAUCCAUGCAGGAAGUGGAGAACUGGACUAUUGAGAUAGCCUUACCCUAAAUAUGAUCUUUAUUGAUUUGCUCUUUCGCAGAUUAGGUAUAAGAACAUUUUUACUGGGUAUUGGGUGCCAUACUUGAAUAUAUCGACUUACGUUUCCCAUUUUAACAACUUAUAAUUUACAAAACCUGCAGUUCAUCUCAUCGGCUAAUCAGCGCCUCCCACCCCCCCCCACACUGCCGUACAUUGCGAUCAUCUUCUCCUCCUCUCUUUCUAUAAUGGAUCAGCCAGAAAGUUGGCGAUGUCAUGAAAAUCCUGCUUGAUGCGUGUUAUUUUGGCAUUAUUGGUGGGGAAAUGGAUGUAUUGACUAGUGCCUUGUAGCAAAGCGUUAAGUACUUGUACUGUGAAACGAGGAAGGUUGUUUCAAAAUAAAACAGGAAAUCACAAGACAUAAUAGACACAAGAAAACCAUUAACACUGGUUCCUGGACAUGACAAUAUGGAUUAAUGUAGACUGAGAUAUUCCCACUGCUGAUGCUAUGACUGUUUUGAAAUGAUCCUGAUGCCAAUAAUUGUAAUGUAGUGAGGAGUUUAACAACUGCUAUAAUUAAAUGUAAACGCUGAGUCGGAGAUGCGAUUAACUUUAAUAUUGCAUGGCUGCUUAAUCUGUAAGGCGUAAGGAUUUCCUGUUCACUCAACUGAAAAAGUGUGAUCCUUGUGGUGAAAAUCCUUUCAGCUCGUCUCCUUGGCCUAUGUAGCCGUCUGGCAUGGAUUACGGCUGUCAUUUCAUCAGGAGGCAUAUGGAGGAAAUCUGCAUUCUGGUCAGAAACAGAACGGAUUUUUGCGUUCACGGGCAGUUUCUGUACAUACGGCAAUAUUCAUAAUUAGCACUUUAUCUUGUUGUUUUGCAACUGGAGAGCGGAAGUGACAAUAUUUGGAUUGCACAGGAGCGCCGCAUGUACGGCACAUACGGCUUUGCUCAUCGUGCAAUGGAUUAUAAAAAUGUCAGUUUUGCUCAGAUUCAUAUCCCUGUCAUGGAAAGUGCCACUAUGAAAGAAAAAAACCAAAGUGAGAUAAUAAAUUACUUCUAAUUAAAGCCCCACCUUCGGCUUUCCUCAGGGCCAGCUGAAGUCCCCUCAAAGUUACCAAACGAUGGACUGAGCACAUUACAGAGAGCGCACCCUUUGACUAUGGUCAGACAUUUUGGAUGCCUUACCGUGUAUAGUACUAAAUGUUUAUCGCAUGCAUUAAGGUAAGUGGAAAUGGGCUUGCGACUACUGUAUUGUUCAUUCUGUAAAAAUGACAUUCAUUGUAGUGUGUGGUCGUCGUGGUGCAGGGGUUGGAGAAGGUGUGCUGGGAAGCACAAGGUUGGUGGUUUGAUUCCAGGCUGCCCCAUGUUCCAUGUCGAAGUGUCCCUGUGCAAGACACCUAACCCCUAAUUGCUACCUGGGCAAAAAAUGUGAAAAAGCCAUGGGUUUAAAGUGUAAUGUAAGUCGCUUUGGAUAAAAGCGUCUGCUAAAUGACAUGUAAUGUAAUGUAGUCUGUCCACCCCUUCCCCUGACAUUCUCACUAAGGUUUUUUCCCCAUAGAAAGGUUUUCAUUUUUUGGGGAGUUUUUCUUGUGCUGACUAUAAAGCCCUCUGAGGCAAAUUUGUAAUUUGCGAUUUUUGGCUAUGCAAAAAAGAAAAAAUUAAAUUAAAGCCUUUUAACAGUACACAUCAAGGGUCUUCUACGUUUUUCAGGCCAAGUUCCCCAAACUAAAAGCAAGCUGAUUGGCGAGUGUCUGUGCAGUCAUAUUUUCAUGAAAGGAGCUGUGAGUGAACCGGUGCCCAGCUUGAGAGAGCUCCUGUGGGUAGCUGAAUGUGUGCAUUGCGGACUGAAAGAUAACGUCUUCUCCAUCGGUUUGCUACAAUAUGGUAGAUUCAUGUUAAUGUGUAUUUAAAGACAAUAAAUAUAAUUAAGAUUCUGAAGACAUUUAAAAUUGUGGAAAAAAUUGGUUGGUUUUAAAUGUCUAAGCAAACAAAAAUGAAGUACCUCUGCGGACCCCCUGUUGAAGACCACUGCUGUACAUCAUCCAUCAAUCACCCAUUCACACACUGAUGACAGGAGCUACCAUACACAGUGACCUCUGCACAUAAGUAACUAACAUUCAUAGAUCCAAACUCCGUAAUCAGUCAAGUGAACAAUUUGGGUGUUUUGGCAACAUCAGCGCAGCUAGGAACCAAACCACCAAUCCUUGGAUUGAAGGAUGAUACUGCUCUCCACUAAGCCAGUUUCCGCAUUUUAUUGGUUUGUAUGCGAGGUGUGCACAUAAAAGAUCAAUCAACAGCAUUUGGCUCUCGGUCAGCAGUUUGUCAGUUUUCGUCGAUUUUGAUUUCCUUCAAUUUUAGUUAGUCAACAAGUGUUCUCUCCCCUCACUGGUUCUUAACAGCUCUUUAUGACAUGUGUCUUAAGUAGAAUUUUGAGAAAUCUCACUCACUCCCUUUUCCAGUCCACACCCCAACUCCACGUGAGUUAAUUAACCCCCCUUCGCCACACCUAACUGCAGCAAAUACUAUGAUAAAUGACUCUUUCUAUUCCAAAAGAGAAGAAUCUCAUUUCAGUGCAACAGCUGCAGCAUCCUUUAGCCCCACGAAGGAUAAUAGACUUGCCGAGAGGUACGAAGCAUUUCUUUGGUUCCUGUGCCAGCCGG